AUUUACCAAUUUCAACAAUAAAAUUUCUCUUCAUUUUCUUCUGGAUCUCUAACAUUAUCGAGCUGUUAAAUCAGAGUGUAGCAUGCAUUUGUAAUCCUGUUGUAAUAACAGAUUUGGUUAGAGGCUGUGCAGCUCCGGGUGCUGAUUUGUUUGGAAGUAUUGCCGCAAAAAUUAUUGGUGCGGUUGAUAUCUUCUAUUGAAAUGCUUUCUCUUGGUUCACAUGAACCGGAGUUUUUAGUGCUGUGGAAGAUCCAAAUGAUGUGCACAUAAGGUGUUUGGUAAAAUGUCCAACAAGGUCUUCUGCAGACAAGUUUCCAUCAAUCAGCUGAAGAAGGAAUGGAAUCCAUUAGAAAUCUCUUCCAAUGCUCAUGUCAUCAUAAGGUGUUAUGUGUGUUGGUAGUGGCGUCUCUCCUACAAUUAUAUUAGCAAUGAUGCUUGCAGGAAACUCAUCAGCUGACGCAUCCACGUUUCACUCCAUUUCUCUCAUCUUCAAGAUGGAUCUCCUAGUCUAUCUUGAGGGGGGGGGGGGUGUUGGAAUACACGUGCACCAAACAUCAGCAGAUUCGUGCACCAGAUUCUAGAGACUUCCAUCUCAACGUAUCAGAUUCCAAAUGGUUGUGUCCAGCUGUCUUAGUUGUUAGUUAGUGAUUAGUUUGUUAAUUAGCUAAUUAGUUUAGCCAUUUUGCUCUAUAAAUACAUCACCAUGUAUGCAUUUUUAGUCUAUUGGAUUGUCCUCCAAUCCCUC
This 745-nucleotide long non-coding RNA is filed under the name Olea europaea subsp. europaea. The record is from RNAcentral. Lineage: Eukaryota; Viridiplantae; Streptophyta; Magnoliopsida; Lamiales; Oleaceae.